UACGAAGGGGGCUAGCGUUGUUCGGAAUUACUGGGCGUAAAGCGCGCGCAGGCGGCUAUCCAAGUCAGUGGUGAAAGCCCGGAGCUCAACUCCGGAACUGCCAUUGAAACUGUUUAGCUUGAGGACGAGAGAGGUGAGUGGAAUUCCCCAGUGUAGAGGUGAAAUUCGUAGAUAUUGGGAAGAACACCGGUGGCGAAGGCGGCUCACUGGCUCGUAUCUGACGCUCAGGCGCGACAGCGUGGGGAGCGAACAGG
This 254-nucleotide ribosomal RNA is filed under the name uncultured bacterium. Its description in RNAcentral is "partial 16S ribosomal RNA". It matches the Rfam family "Bacterial small subunit ribosomal RNA", at positions 524 to 776 of the family's 1533-position model. The record is from RNAcentral.